GCCUCUCAAUGACCUUGAUAUGAUUGUUCUUCAGCCAUUCCUUGGUUGCCUUGGCUGUAGGUUCUAGGUCACUAACCUGUUGGAAGACCCAUCCAUGACUGAUUUGAAGGGUCCUGGCUUAAGGAGGGUAGGAAGUUCUCACUCAGGAUUUUCCAUUAAUGGCUCCAUCAACGUGGUGACGUAGCUCUGUGCAGAAAAAUAGCCACAAAGCAUAAUGCUUCCACCUCCAUGUUUGACAGCGGGGAAGCUGUUCUUGGGGUCAUAGGUAGCAAUUCUCUUCCUCCAAACCCAAUGGUUGAGUUGAUGCCAAAGAGCUCAGUUUUGAGCCAAACAUUCCAUUAUGCAGAAUAAACUGAUAAAGCAAACCCUAUUUUUCAGUGUGUGAUUUUCAUUUUUUCAUAAAUCUUAGGACAAUUUAGAUGAUAAAAGUAAUAAAUAUAUGAAAACAGUAUAAUACAGUAAAUAUGUAAAUAUUUGAUGUGAUGAACAAUGCUUAUCUGAUUUAGACCCAACAUGGAAUAUUUUAUGACAGACACACAUCAAGUUGUGUUAUUUAAUGCUCGUAAUUUAGACACAAAUGAUAGAAAUGUUAAGUUUAUAUGUCAAAGAGGCCAUGUGAAAAUUUUAGUGCAAAUACGCAUGCGUGCGCGCCGUGCACAUAAAGCCACCCCACCCCCACGUAUCCGCGCGCCGGUCGGUGGGUGUUGGGCGUCAAUAAAGGUAAUCUGGUUGUCGCGCGUUCUGCAUCUCUGCACGAGCUAAAGAAGUCUCAAAGCUGACUCUGCCACGAGGCUCGACAACUUCUUGCAUCAACUGUGAUCGCUGUGGCCGCCAAAACAUCCAAAUGUAAGGCGGGCUACAAAGAUUUCAGGCCAAAAGAGAACGCCUCACAUGUGAUGAAGUGUCUGUAUUGGUUGGAAAAACCAGCAGCCCUCCAGUGCUUCAGCCGUCCAACCAUCAACCGUUUCAGACAUCCAUCCUCUCACCACUUCAACCACCAAUCUUUCCACCACUUCA
Long non-coding RNA from Oryzias latipes (Japanese medaka), 1017 nucleotides. RefSeq lists it as uncharacterized. The record is from RefSeq and is a predicted model, not a curated record. NCBI's taxonomy places the organism in Eukaryota, Metazoa, Chordata, Actinopteri, Beloniformes, Adrianichthyidae.